CCCAGAAGAUUGAUCCGAGGAGCCAGCUGAUGCGGCCUGAGGACAGCAGACUGGUUGUGGGCACGUGGCAGAGAGCAACUAUCAAGGUACUGGAGAAGGCGGCUCCAAGACUAGUAUUUCUUCCUGUCAUCCUCAAACGCAAUAAAAGAGACUGGGAAUAGAAAAAAAUAAAAAUUUUUUAAAAAAAAAGGAAGGAAUCGAUGUGGAAAGAAAAUGGAGGCUUUGACUGAAAUCCACAAGAAGAGUCUGUAACCCUGCAAAACUUGCCUCAUGCUGGCAUCACUAAGAAAAGCUAUUGUACUCCAGUUCAUAGACUCAAUUUCAGAAGUAAUCACUGAUGACAGCAAGCCAAUUUACAAGAGUACAGCUGACAAUGCAGGAUCCAGGAGGUAGAACCUGUGAGCAACACAGGAGCAUCAGCUUGCUCAACCAAGCUUUUCCCUACACGAGAUCAAAAUUCCCUGCUGUCACAGCUGUGUGCUGCUCACUCUGUUCAGUGUGA
Molecule: long non-coding RNA, 502 nt
Filed under: Anser brachyrhynchus (Pink-footed goose)
Lineage: Eukaryota; Metazoa; Chordata; Aves; Anseriformes; Anatidae
Description: lncRNA (ENSABRG00000000304.1)
Source: RNAcentral